UGUCUGUAACUGGCCGCUCCCUUGGAUUGCCUGUUCAAUUGAAUCCAUUCAGGCAGCCGGUAGCGGUGGAGGAUAGUGUGCUGUUGCUUCCUUGUUAUUCAAAUUGCUUUCUUUUUGGGAUGUAAAUUGAUUGAUUUACAAAAAUAAAGUAUUAAACACAUGCUUAUUAUUGUGUAA
Long non-coding RNA from Neltuma alba, 177 nucleotides. RefSeq lists it as uncharacterized. The record is from RefSeq and is a predicted model, not a curated record. The transcript is spliced from 2 exons. Lineage: Eukaryota; Viridiplantae; Streptophyta; Magnoliopsida; Fabales; Fabaceae.